Long non-coding RNA from Zingiber officinale, 155 nucleotides. RefSeq lists it as uncharacterized. The transcript is spliced from 3 exons. NCBI's taxonomy places the organism in Eukaryota, Viridiplantae, Streptophyta, Magnoliopsida, Zingiberales, Zingiberaceae. The record is from RefSeq and is a predicted model, not a curated record.
UUGGAUGUGGAGGUCUCGUGCGACGAAAAUAUUCUCGAGCCCGAUUUGAAAGAAAGGUCUUUCAUUUGACACUAAUGAUGAGUUUAAAAGAAGCAUUUAUGAAUUAUGGUGAAGUUGUUGAUGAGUGCAUCAUUGGCAGGGAAAGUGGAAGGUCU